ACCUUUACUUUAUGCUUCUCCCAUCUGUGUAGGAAACACAGUCCUAAUGAUUAGCAAUGCAUAUUUGUAUUAAUUAUGCAGUGUUCUUCCGUGUUCAUGACAGAUUUAUAAAAAUAGAAGAAAAGAAAAAACCUCAGUGAUGGUUAGGACUUAGGAGAGAAAAAUAGAACGAUAGAGAAUUAAAAAGUACAGAUGUGUGAAGGUGAAGAAUGGUAUGAGAGUUAUGAGAUUUCAAAAACUGAUUUGGAGAUAUCAUAAGAACGUCUUUUGGAGAUGACAUAGCAAAAAAGAUCGUGAACGUAAAAAUAGGAUCGUGAUUAAGGAAAUAAAUUUAUUUAAUUUCGCUGAUUUUGAGGAGAAAAGAAAAUUAAAAAUAAUGAUAAAUCUAAUAAUAUU
This 396-nucleotide small RNA is filed under the name Arabidopsis thaliana (thale cress). Its description in RNAcentral is "ATSL062140". The record is from RNAcentral. Lineage: Eukaryota; Viridiplantae; Streptophyta; Magnoliopsida; Brassicales; Brassicaceae.